This 4793-nucleotide unclassified non-coding RNA is filed under the name Venturia canescens. RNAcentral's name for it is "growth arrest-specific protein 2-like, transcript variant X4". The record is from RNAcentral. Lineage: Eukaryota; Metazoa; Arthropoda; Insecta; Hymenoptera; Ichneumonidae.
UGAGUCGGCGCGUCGGCAAUCGGUAUGGGAACGAUAGAGACCGGUACGAUCGUCGUUUCUCAAUAAAGUAAGCGCGAAGCUUUACUUAUACUGUAGGCUUUAUUUUUUUAUUGGUAGAAUCGGUAUGUGAAUGAGAAAGGAGGAGAAAAAAAAAACGUUUUCUGAUAAACUGGAAAAUAACUGGUUAAACGCGCGUCGACAUAAUCGCGUUGCAAGUUGCAAUAUCUGCGGGUGAUUUUCUUCUGAAACCUCAAAUUCGCCUUCGCUUCGGCGAGAGUUUUACUCACCAAGAAGAGUUACGGCGCGUUACCUUCGUAUUGGCGGGCAUAAACAAUUAAACGAAUGUCAAUAUGUAUCUUUUUACAUGUAAUUGAUGUGUCCAUAUGGACGUUUUGGCGUCCGUCGCUCAUAUAUAUGCGCGUGCAGCGUCCGUUAUCGACGUCGUUAAAGAACUGGACUGAGAAACUAGGCGAGGAGGGAGGUACAUUUAUUGUCGCGCGAGAGCUCGACCAACGACAUUAAGGAUCGAAUGAUCGGGGCGCAUAGUCGCGAGGCGCGUUCCACUACGGGCCAUGCUGGCAAGACGGAAGUCUUUGUUAAUAUUGCUGUUGCUGACUCCGGUGUCGACUCGACUUGCGGAUAAUAAAAAGAGGAACAACGACAAGGGGUAUUCGAGGAAGUAGUAGUCGCAGUCGCCGAGAGAAAGUAAAGAGAAUAAAAAGAGGCGGCAGCGUUUUACGAGAUCGAUGAAAAGUGAUGAGGUUCCGAAGUGUGUCGUGUGGGAAUGACAAAACGCGAUAGUGCCCUCUCUUAAUUCUUUGCUCAAAGAUUAUCUGGAUUCCCGAAAAAGCAUCCAUCUCGCCGACUCUCUCGUUCUCGACGAUGUCGUACACGAAUCGUUUCCCCCCCACGCAAAACACGAGAUAUCGUAGCAGCUGGGGACCCUCCUCCGUAUCGGCCUUCGCUCGCGCAGAUGUUCCCAGACCCUCGCCCGAGGAGGAAGAGUUUGCCGAAUUUUACAACGAGCGUCUUCAUUCCGCCCAAAGUCGACAGCUCCUACCUCUUCAGGAGGAUCUUGCCGAUUGGAUCAACAAAACGAUAAACACGGACCACGUAACCGGCGAGAAUUUCUUUGACGCUCUCGAUAAUGGCGCCGUGGUUUGUAAAUUGGCUCGGGUAAUACAGGAAAAAGCAAGAACAGCCGUUGAUGCCGGAAGAGUCAAGGGGCCAACGCCCGUUAUACGAGGCAGAUGCUGGGAAAAUGCAGCUCGGCGAAGCUUCUUUUCGAGGGAUAAUAUGGAGAAUUUUAUACAAUUUUGUCGACGACUCGGAGUUCACGAGAAUCUUCUUUUUGAAAGCGACGAUCUUGUUUUGCACGGUCAGCCACGGAAUGUGGUCCUCUGCCUGUUGGAGGUGGCGAGACUCGCUUCGAGAUAUUCGCUCGAGCCACCGGGUAUAGUUCAACUCGAACGGGAGAUCGCAGCCGAGCAGGAAAGAGAUUUACACUGUCUAUCGGACAGCGGUAUUUCGCACAGCAGCCUCGUAUCAUGGCAGUUUCAGCCACCUUCGCCGACCCCAUCGCCCAGACCCCAACCAGACAAAAUAAAGCACAGCAGCUCGGCAUCGGAGGUGGCUACGGUGGCGAAUCGAUGGCUCGAUCCUCCGCCGACGGUCAAUCACGAACCGGAGAUGCGUCGAUCCGCCAGCGACAACGGUCCGACCGGAAGUGACGGUGUGCCUAGCGAUACGACCGAGGACGAUUGGUCCCGUGGAAGUGCCGAAGAUCCCGAUGACGUGCCAUCACCCUCAAUUUCACCCUCGCCGGCGGAGCCACCCGAGCAUACCGGACCAAUCACCGAACUUGAUCGAAAGGUUAGAAAAGCUGCCGAGGCUGUACAAAGGCUCUGCCAGUGCCCUUCGGAAAAAUGCUCCAAGCUCAAAGUUCGUAAAGUCGGGGAAGGACGUUAUUACAUCGCUGGACGAAAUGUUUUCAUCAGGCUCCUCAAAGGACGGCACAUGAUGGUGAGAGUCGGCGGAGGCUGGGACACCCUUGAGCAUUUCUUGUCGAGGCACGAUCCGUGUCAGGUGAGGGUUCUCACCCGCGAAACUACACCCCCACCCCGCAACAACAAGCACAGCUUUCUUCACAUCCGGGCAAAGUAUCGGAGCCAUCCGUCCGAAUCUCUUUCCGGCCACUGAAAUUACUCACUCUUUGCACCUUCUCUCUCUCUCUCUCUCUCUCUCUCUCUCUCUCUCUCUCAAAUCCUUUGGCCAAUCAACUCUUUCACUCUUUCAUGCAUUCCUCUAUCGGUAUGGCCGUUUAUUUAACAAACGAAUUUUACGGACGAUUUUUGGAAAACGAGAGUAUUUCCACAUAAGAGUUUUCAUAGAGUUCCAUCACGUGCGAUGGGUCUCCAUCGUUCCGGACGCAUGUUCACGUUCAAAUCAUCAUAGUCUAUUUCACGCAGUCUGCCUAAUAGAUAUUUCAAAUACAUAUAACAUAUGUAUUUCGAGACAUUAGUAUUUUGAUAACUCGCAUAUACCGCUUGUACCAUGAAACGACAAAUCGUUUUUUAUCAGUCGUACGGGAUAAGCGCGGCUCAAGUUUGUCAAAGCGCUCGUGAAGCAUCUAGCGCCAGAUAUAAUCGAUUAAGGUGAUCUAUCACUUGCGCGAGUCCGAGAGUAAAUGUAAAAUGGUUGCACGGUUUACUCGGACGUCCAUGAUUUUUGAGAAAAAUAAAAGUUACACCUUGUUCUCUGAUGAUAAUAAAUAUUUUUUUUCAAAUAUCAAGCGUGCAAUGGAAUAAAGCGUGCAACAGGAUUUUUACCGACUGAACAACUGAUAGAUCAUCUUGAAGAUCUUGAACGACGUGAUCAGCGAUCGAUAUAUACAUAUGUGAUAAAUACUUGAAUCACGAUAUCACACUCGCACGAGAGAUAUAUACUUGCUACGAAUAUCGUACAAUCACUAUUUUUGCAUACCAACGAGAUCCAACGGUUAAAAGUAACGGAUACGCGUCAUCGAACCGUUUCGACGUGUCUCAACAAUAACAAAUGUAAAGAAUUUAUGCACCUAAUAGAAGAAGCACGUUCGAUACAGUCGUUCCCGCCGUGGUUUUAGUAAUCGAAAAAUGAGAAAGAUGAGGAACAGCAACAAUUAUGCAAACACAAUCACGCAAAAAUUCACUUGUGCACACAUUUAUCGACAGCAAGUAAUUGAGUGACGAGUAUAUAACGCAAUGGCCACGAUCAAGAUCGAAAACACACCGAGUGCAAAUAAACUCUCAGGAAGACAAGAAAGAAGGAAGAAAGAUUAAUCGAUAAACUCGACUCAUAUGCCGAUUGACGGGAUAUUUUUGAAACGUUAACACUCAAUUUAGGCACACCUAAGAGAGAGAGAAAAAAAAACAAUAAUAUUCUAUUGAUAGCGGGUAACAAAGUGCAACGAUCGAGCGCAUUUAUGGCCAUUGCGAAUUUCCGUCGGUUGCACCUCAUGAUCCAAUUGGUUUUUAUACAUAUUUAUUCUGUAAACAUUUGUGGGACGAGUGAGGAUUAGCAUUUUUUGGUUAAAAAAAUCACGAUGAGAAGAUCUCGUCGAGAAGAAUAGGUUGGCUAAAAGUAAUUCGGAAAAGGGUAACAUUGAGGGCCCGAACGCAACUCCCCAAUGAACGUUGGUUGAUUGCGUGAACCUGCCAAAGUGUACACCGGACAGACCAAAGGUGUCUGUUCGAUGUACACAUAUUACCAACGAUCUGAGCGAAAUAGUGAGGUUUUUUCGUCGGUCGAGCAAAUCCUUGUUACUCAAUAUAUUCACCGUAUUUAACGCGGUACAAUGAAUUAUUGAAAAAAUUCUUGUAUUAUCGUUGCACGCCGUACGGUUUACGAUAAAAACUCACGUCACCGGGAAUUGUAAUGUCAGCGGGAAUUUGAAUUCGGUUUUGUCCAAUCGAGGGGACAAUAUUCCAUUAUAUAGAUGGAAAAAUGAAGGACGCGUAUUUCACCAAAAAUACGAGCCCAUCUAAUCCUUUCGAUAUGAGAUGGUACUCCAUCCCCCCCCCCCCCCCCAAUGCCAGUUGUAUGCUUCACAUCGUAGGCGUCCUAUCGUCACGUAUAUACAUAUAUAUUUAUAUUUAUAUAUACACUCACACACACACGUAACUGCCUGUAAUUUUACCUUUUGUAUUUUUAUACAAAUCCUUAGGGUUAAGGUGAGACGACGAGGGAAAUGCAAGAGUACACUCUGCAAAGGAAGAAUACCAAAGCUACGGAACACGAGACGAGUUUUUUCGGCGCGUUGAGGCUAUUUACCUGAUUUUUUAUUUCAUUUUUUUUUUUUUAGUCUAUCCCGAUAAUGCGAAAUUGAAGGAGAAAAAUUGCAAACUUUUCGUUAACAAAAGUAAAAAAGUUGAGACGAUCGAGUGCUAUAGCAGCUGCGAGAAAAAACUGCAUCACGAUCGAUCGAAUCAAUUGGUCGCUAUAAAUAUAUUUUAAAUGGAAAACAAAGAAAAAGAAAUCGAGGAUAUGAAAUAAACUUGAGUUGAUCAUUUUUGGAUUUACAAAAGAAAGACAAAAAAACGGAUCGUCAGGUUUGUGAGUACCUGGUAUUUUUCGGGUCGUUCUGAAAUACGUAUCGAGUUGAUGAAAAUUUUUCUCGCGGGAGAAUAGUCGAACACGAUGAUAUUAGUUAUUAAUACACCACACACGAACUUAUGUGCAUUGAGAUUUAUUUUACAAUUGUAUUGUAAUCCGAUUGUUACCUUUUGUUGAGUAAUAAAAUGUUUAAUUGCAAAGUU